GCUUCUCUUAUGACACCUCCUGUUAUCCCAGCCCAGUCACAAUGAGAUUUCUUUCUUUCCAGGCACUGAAGAAAAAGUCUAAACCCUGAGGAUGUAUAAGAAGGUCAGAAAACAAAGCUACUGUGAGAAGUGCUAGCUACAGUGAGAAGUGCUAGCUAGUGACAGAGUGAGAAGUAUGUUGAAUUGUUUGUGAGAGGGAUUUCUCCCUCCAGAGGAAUCUUCUGUCUCUCUGUUGACUGUGUCCAUGGUGGACUGCACCAGACAUUGACAUCCCUAACACAGGCUGGAGUGCUGCAAUGUGAAGUCUGCAGGAUGGAGGCGUUUCCUGAGUGCUGGUAUGCAAUCAGAUGCUCCGACCAUCUGGUUUGCCUCAGCAUGCUUGAAGUAGACAGCUAGUGCUAUCACCAGCACAGUAUAGCUAAAUCACCAUGGCAAUUUUCAAGGUUUGAAAACCAUCACCUUGGCUCCUUCCUGAGUCUAGUGUUUUCAAUACUCACCUUCAGCACCUGGUAGCUCUGCUGUAUGUAACUGCUUCACCAUAUCAUCAAGGUGGUUAUUUCUUCCUUCCAUUCAGCCCAAAGAAAGGCUGCUUACUAAACCUAUUAUAUAGAACUAGAUCAGAAUGUAUCUUUCACUCCAAGAAUUAGCUGAUGGCAGCUGAUACCAUCUGACUAGCAGUAUCUCACUCUGCAGAACUCUUGUACAUGGUAGUAUGGCACAUAUAUUAUUUCCAGAAAGGAGCAAAGCCUAGGGUCAUAUUGUAGUCUUUUCUCAUCUGAUUUAAAAGAACUGCUUUCCAC
This 800-nucleotide long non-coding RNA is filed under the name Anas platyrhynchos platyrhynchos (common mallard). RNAcentral describes it as "lncRNA (ENSAPLG00000024293.1)". Lineage: Eukaryota; Metazoa; Chordata; Aves; Anseriformes; Anatidae. The record is from RNAcentral.